UUUCAUCGACAAAGAGAGGCGCAUUUGUUGCGGAAUACGAUUUCGUGGCUGAUUGAAGAAAAACUGGAGCAAAAAGAGGCCGGCCCGUCGAGUUCUCCCGUCGACAGAAGAAAUGAUAGGCCGUAAUUCAGUGGAAAAGUGGUAGUUACGUCGACGACACGACGUACUGAAUAAAAAAAGGGAUUAUCCCUGUGCAAAAGACGAUACGACGAGCUAACGCCACCUAGAAAAGCGUCAGCGGCUGGAGAAUAAAGCAUGGGAAAGAUAUUACGAGCUAACGAUAAUUUCAGCCACGUGGCUGCCACUUUAUUGCUCGACGAUGUACACCGCGUCGUCACACCGAACGAAUAAUUUAUACCACCACGUAUACGCGACAGCUGACAGUGUCGGUCAACUUCCAACUAGCUUUCUACCGAAUGUUGUUCGCGUGUUUAUCCGCUCGACUCUUUUUUUAACAAUUUUAGUACAUACGUUGUUCAACUGUACACGGUUGGGUAAAAGUAAUCGCAGCACAGUCUGGUGGAGGGUGAUUCUGCGUGAAUAAAUAUGUCGAAAACGUGGAAUAACAUUUUUGUAUAUCACGCUUGAUUGCUGAGAAAAUCGGAUCUGAAAAUUCGUCAAGUAUAUUUCAAUUUGGCUAAUUAUCGACCAGGGUCGUUGGACACGAUACAUAUCCCGUCGUCGUUCCGGUAAUAAAGCUGGAAAUCUCUGGGUUUGAGGAGCAAACGUCGUGCCACUAGAAGCACUGGCUUUUCUAAUCCUCGCCUCGGCUUGUUCAAGAGGCAAAGAAGACGAAGAAGGGGCGUUACUGGCAAGGCUUUUGCUCAGAAAGCCGCCUAAGAUGAAGAGGAUCGCUUGGAAUAUUCACCGAUAUUGCCGUCACUGGUAUUACACCGUCUUCCUCCGUUUUUCAGCGUCGUAGAAUAAUUUUCAAAAUACAAUGAGCACCUUGGAUGAAGAAUAAAGCAACCAUCAAACGAAUGUGAUUUUACCAUUUUAUUUUAUUCUUUUGUGUUUGAUCGAGAGGAUCGCCGGCGUUCGAAAGAACGAAACUUUCGAUAAAUUGAAUUCGAUGUCGAUGCGACGCACGAUGUGACGUUUGCAACGUUCAUUGACCACUUCGAGUUUUCGAAGCAGAAACGAGGCAGCUGAUUGGUCGUUGAUUACAGGCUCGACAUGCGCGGUGUAACCUUGAAAAAGGGAGGAAAACGACUAGUUCGUUCGACUGCAAGCGAUGCAAUCGCCAUCCUAAGAUAUAAAACGGACGGGGCAGGAAAAAUCGUCGCGUGGAAGGUCUAUCGAUUUGCAAAGUACCGCGAAAGAGCUCCGGGUCGCUCGAAAAUCCGGCUGGACGUCAUUGAAAAUGGCCGAUGUGUCUGCAGCUUUCGGAAGAAUUUCUAACCGGAAAUGCGAAAUGCAGCGCACGAGCAUAAAACUGGAAACGAAGGAAGAAAUAAAACGCGGUUCUUCAGGCUGUAUGCAGCAGCCGAGGGAGAAAUGAGGUAAAUUCCUCGAGGGGAAUACGCAAUCGCGAGAACCGUGCGAACUCCACGAGUAUUGCAGUCGUCGUCAUCGUGCAACCUGCAACGUUUAAACGUGUCGUUAACGCGCUCGUGCACGAACGCGGUUCGCCUCUUUUCGAAGGUCAUUGUUUGCCGACGCGGCAACGGAACGAAAGUUUCAAAAGCUACAGCCAUCGAAACGUCGAACACGAUAUUUAUCGCGAGCCGGAGAACGUAACGUAGUAACGUUAUGCGAGCGAAUUUCGCGGUGCAAGAUUUAAAGGCUCGCAGUGUCGUGUUUCGCGGAGUACAGCGUAACGACCACGGCCAAUUUAGCUGCGUUGUUUCGAAGCCAGCAGCGAGGAAUCCGAGACAGGCGCACGUUCGUGAAAAUAUGGUUAUAGCUGGGAAAAGUUGAGCGCAUACGGUCGAACAAUACACGCGCUAAAGUUGGAAAAUGCAAGUGGAACGACGCGCGACGCCCAGCACAAUGACGUUCGUAAAGACGAUCGCGCCGUCCUGCUUUUCUUUGCUGCAUCGCGCAAAACAUCAUAUAUAUGUCGAGUUAUCGUUAGGUUUACGGGCGUGUAACGAAUCUUCAUUCGGACUAGCCAUCGUUGUUGUACAAUAGAGAUUAUAUUUACUGGAAUAAAUAUAAUUUUUACAGAGUUUGACAAAUAACCGUGGUGAUUAGACGCUCGAGAUGUUAAUGACAAUGAUCUUAGGUUCAAUAACGAAUCCACGGUCAACGGGGUAACUCUUUGUUAA
Molecule: long non-coding RNA, 2270 nt
Organism: Bombus impatiens (common eastern bumble bee)
Lineage: Eukaryota; Metazoa; Arthropoda; Insecta; Hymenoptera; Apidae
Exons: 3
Source: RefSeq, a predicted model, not a curated record